This 377-nucleotide ribosomal RNA is filed under the name uncultured delta proteobacterium. Its description in RNAcentral is "bacterial SSU rRNA". It matches the Rfam family "Bacterial small subunit ribosomal RNA", at positions 521 to 896 of the family's 1533-position model. The record is from RNAcentral. Lineage: Bacteria; Deltaproteobacteria.
UAAUACGGAGGGGGCAAGCGUUGUUCGGAAUUAUUGGGCGUAAAGCGCGUGUAGGCGGUGAGGUAGGUCAAACGUGAAAGUCAACGGCUCAACCGGGGAAUUGCGUUUGAUACUGUCUUACUGGAGUACGGGAGAGGAGAGUGGAAUUCCUAGUGUAGCAGUGAAAUGCGUAGAUAUUAGGAAGAACACCGGUGGCGAAGGCGGCUCUCUGGCCCGUUACUGACGCUGAGACGCGAAAGCUAGGGGAGCGAACGGGAUUAGAUACCCCGGUAGUCCUAGCCGUAAACGAUGGGCACUAGGUGAAGGAGGUAUCGAUCCCUUCUGUGCCGUAGCUAACGCAUUAAGUGCCCCGCCUGGGGAGUACGGUCGCAAGGCUG